GGUGAAGACUCGGGACUGUGAUUGUAUUCUUUAUUGAGUGCGAUUGCGGGAACCUGUCUAAACCUUAUCACUUAGAGGAAGGUGAAGUCGUAACAAGGUUUCCGUAGGUGAACCUGCGGAAGGAUCAUUAUCACACUGGUGGAAUAUUAAUUUAUUCUGCCUAAAUCCAAACCUUACACUCGUGAAUCUGUAGGCAAAAGCAAUCGUUUCAAGCGUUUUGUGAGUAGCCUACCAGUAACAUUGGGGUACUCAUAACAUUAGUUUUGAGCUUAUCUCAUCAUUAUAAUACCCUUAUUAAAUUAUAAACUAACUAGAGAUGGAGAACCAAACCCUUUGUGGUGAGUAGUAUUUAUCUAUAAAAAAAUGUAUUACAACUUUCAGCAGUGGAUGUCUCGGCUCCUACAAUGAUGAAGAACGCAGCGAAAUGCGAUACGUGAUGCGAAUUGCAAGACCUCGUGAAUCAUUAAAAUUUUGAACGCACAUUGCGCCUCUGGGAAAUUCCUAGUGGCAUACUCUCUUGAGUGUCCUUGAACCCUACUCAACAAUAAAUACUAUAAUUUAUUUAUUGUUGGAUGUGUUGUGGCGUGACGGCUUCGGUUGUUCAUGCAUGACUAAAGCGAUAAUUGAUUGGGAACAACAAUGAACAUAUCAACUAUGGAUCAAUAACAUAGUAGAGUGUUGAAGCCUAACGUCUGGUAAUUACUACGAUGGAUGGUGGAAAGCUUUGCUUGGUUUGUGGUGUUGUUUAGAUUACCAUUCAACCCGAACAGCGUCGACGGGCUAUGUUUCUACAUAGUGUGUGGGUCGUUGAUUUCAAUUUGGAUCUCAGGUGGAGUAAAACUACCCGCUGAAUUUAAGCAUAUAAUUAAGCGGAGGAAA
This 879-nucleotide ribosomal RNA is filed under the name Tenuicylindrus belgicus. RNAcentral's name for it is "eukaryotic LSU rRNA". The stretch from base 373 to 527 matches the Rfam family "5.8S ribosomal RNA". The record is from RNAcentral. Lineage: Eukaryota; Bacillariophyta; Leptocylindrophyceae; Leptocylindrales; Leptocylindraceae.